Molecule: ribosomal RNA, 450 nt
Filed under: uncultured bacterium
Lineage: Bacteria
Description: bacterial SSU rRNA
Rfam family: Bacterial small subunit ribosomal RNA
Source: RNAcentral
UCAAGAAACUUCCACAAUGGGCGAAAGCCUGAUGGAGCGACGUCGCGUGAUGGACGAAGUGCUUCGGCACGUAAACAUCUUUUAUGUGGGAUGAAAUUAUUGACAGUACCACAUGAAUAAGGGGCUCCUAACUCUGUGCCAGCAGGAGCGGUAAUACAGAGGCCCCAAGCGUUAUCCGGAAUCACUGGGCGUAAAGGGUGUCGAGGCGGUUGUAUUAGUCGUUCGUAAAAUCUACGAGCUUAACUUGUAGGCGGCGAACGAAACGGUACGACUUGAGGUUUGGAGAGGUGCGUGGAACUCACGGUGUAGGGGUGAAAUCUGUUGAUAUCGUGGGGAACACCAAAGGCGAAGGCAGCGCACUGGCCAAAAUCUGACGCUCACACACGAAAGCUAGGGUAGCGAAGAGGAUUAGAUACCCCUGUAGUCCCUGAGCGGGCUGGCAAGGCGCAU